Molecule: unclassified non-coding RNA, 311 nt
Filed under: Mycena sp.
Lineage: Eukaryota; Fungi; Basidiomycota; Agaricomycetes; Agaricales; Mycenaceae
Also listed under: 2 other names
Description: partial contains 5.8S ribosomal RNA, internal transcribed spacer 2, and large subunit ribosomal RNA
Rfam family: 5.8S ribosomal RNA (bases 1-52)
Source: RNAcentral
AACGCACCUUGCGCCCUUUGGUAUUCCGAAGGGCAUGCCUGUUUGAGUGUCAUUAAAUUCUCAACCUUGCAAGCUUUUGCUUGUGAGGCUUGGAUGUGAGGGUUUUUGCUGGCUUCCUUCAUUUGGAUGGUCUGCUCCCUUUAAAUUUAUUAGUGGGAUCCUUUGUGGAUGGUCACUUGGUGUGAUAAUUAUCUACGCCGCCUGACUCUGAUACAAGACUUGUGGGAACCCGCUUAUAACCGUCUCUUCAGAGAGACAACUUAUAUUGACAAUUUGACCUCAAAUCAGGUAGGACUACCCGCUGAACUUAA